RNAcentral lists this ribosomal RNA (229 nucleotides) under uncultured bacterium. Its description in RNAcentral is "partial 16S ribosomal RNA". It matches the Rfam family "Bacterial small subunit ribosomal RNA", at positions 568 to 796 of the family's 1533-position model. The record is from RNAcentral.
UGCGUAGGCGGAAGAUUAAGUCAGUGGUGAAAUCCUGCGGCUCAACCGUAGAACUGCCAUUGAUACUGAUGUUCUUGAAUGCAGUUGAGGUAGGCGGAAUGUGUAAUGUAGCGGUGAAAUGCUUAGAUAUUACACAGAACACCGAUUGCGAAGGCAGCUUGCUAAACUGUGAUUGACGCUGAUGCACGAAAGCGUGGGGAGCGAACAGGAUUAGAUACCCUGGUAGUCC